Molecule: ribosomal RNA, 253 nt
Filed under: uncultured bacterium
Lineage: Bacteria
Description: partial 16S ribosomal RNA
Rfam family: Bacterial small subunit ribosomal RNA
Source: RNAcentral
UACGUAGGGGGCAAGCGUUGUCCGGAAUCAUUGGGCGGAAAGCGCGUGUAGGCGGCUCGGUAAGUCCGCUCUGAAAGUCCAGGGCUCAACCCUGGGAUGCGGGUGGAUACUGCCGAGCUCGAGUCCGGAAGAGGCGAGUGGAAUUCCUGGUGUAGCGGUGAAAUGCGCAGAUAUCAGGAAGAACACCCGUGGCGAAGGCGGCUCUCUGGGACGGUACUGACGCUGAGACGCGAAAGCGUGGGGAGCGAACAGG